Long non-coding RNA from Callithrix jacchus (white-tufted-ear marmoset), 702 nucleotides. RefSeq lists it as uncharacterized. Lineage: Eukaryota; Metazoa; Chordata; Mammalia; Primates; Cebidae. The record is from RefSeq and is a predicted model, not a curated record.
UGCUAAUGCCAUGCUAAUUAAUAACCUGAACAAGCCCCAGCGGGAGCUGGUUUUGGGCUCUCCAAGGGAGGGUGUGGCAGGUGAGUGGGCUGAACCCCGUGCAGCUCGGGUCCUGACUCAUCUCUGACGCUGCAGGUGCAGAGCUCGCACCCUCAGGGCUCUUAGGGGCGCUGCCUUUGUUAGGAGGAAAAAGAGCAGAGAUGUGGGUCCUGAUUCCCUGGGCCUACGCGGGAGAGCAGCUGCCAACUGUGAGCUGGCCCCUGGGACCCAGGCUCUCUCCGCCAGGAUACAGCUAUUUUUCUGGUGUUUGUUCUCUGUAGGGCCUGACCCGAACCCUGCCUCUCGCAAGAAUGCAUGGAAUCCUACCCUUUAGAUGCUGUCUUUGGAUGUCUUGGAAAAAUCCUCCAGUUAUUAUUGCCUCUUAAAUAUCUCGUCUAGGUUUGAUGAUUCUCUCUGAAGCCAACCCACUCGCCAUGACUGCUUGCAGCUGGGCUCUUCUGAAAUGUUGUGAAGCUUAAGUUCUUCAUAUUCCACUAUUUUGAAGGUGGUAUCUGGCACAUAGAAGGAAUUCAGAAAUACUGAAUGAAGGAGCACCUGUUAUGUACCCAGAAUUGAGCAAGGAGCUAGCGAUACAGAAUAGAGGUGAGAUGUGCCUUUCACCUUCCACCAUGAUUGUGAGGCCUCCCCAGCCACGUGGAACUG